CAACCUUCACUUUACAAAUUGGUUUUAUAGAGUUGAGUUAAGCCCAUAACUCACAUUCUAAAGUGGUAUUAGAACUAUCUAGAUCCACUCUUAAAGGGUCACCCACCAUUGAUAUGUGCACCAAGCCUAAUAUUGUUGGACAUAAGGAAGUGUACUGGGAAAAACACAAAUCCUACCUACCCUACAUCAUUAAAGAGGGUCACGCACUAUUUAUCCAUAUAUCAAGCCCAAUAGUAUUGGACAUGAGGGGAUGUAUUAGGAAAAACUCAAGUCUCAUAUCGACUAGAGAUAAGAGAGUUAAAAAAUAUAUAAAUGGGGGACAACCUUCACCUUACAAGUCGGUUUUAUAGGAUUGAGUUAGGUUCAUAACUCACAUUCAAAGACCUAUCAAGUAAACUGAUAUUAAUAAUGCCUUCCUCAAUGGCUACCUAGAAGAAGACAUUUAUAUGGUUCAGCCUCCAAGAUUUGAGGAUUUUGAUAAAAGUCUUGUUUGCAAACUACAAAAGGCAAUUUAUGGUUUAAAAAAGACUCCUCAGGCAUGGUACAUGCGAUUGACAAACACUCUUCUCGGGGCUUGGAUUUGUUCCAAGCAAAUGUGAUCACUCUCUACUGAUUUACAAAAUGUGUGAUGUUUGUAUCUAUAUAUUGAUCUAUGUGGAUGAUAUAAUAAUUACAGGAAAUUCCGGUUCCUUGGUUCAGGCCUUCAUUACAAAACUACAUGAUGUAUUUGCUCUCAAGCAACUUGGUGAUCUUGAUUAUUUUGUGGGGUUAGAAGUCAAACAUUCUUCUUCAGGAUCUCUUCUUCUAUCUUAGGGUAAAUACAUCAGAGAUCUUCUGCAAAUAGAAGCUAUAGAGUCUGCCAAAGGAAUUUCUACUCUUCAAGCUAAUCUCAAACUGUCUAAAUUUGGUUACAGUUGGAGGUCUUCAAUAUGUUACUAUAACCUGCCCUACAAUUGGUUAUGCUGCCAACAAAGUCUGUCAAUAUGUUACUAUAAGCUAUAGAGUCUUCCAAAAAAGAAUUAGUCCGAGGAACUAUUGAUCUUGGUCUACUUUUUCAGCCUGCAACUACUGUUACUCCUCUUGCUUUACAAGCUUUCUCAGAUGCUGAUUGGGGAUUUGAUGUAGAUGAUUGCAGAAGUACUUCAGAAGCCAUUUAUUCUUGGAUGGAAGAUGGAAACUUUCUUUCAGAGACCUGUCUUUCUAAUCCAUUGGCAUGUGUGGCUUAAAGAGUUUCUUUGUCCCCCAAACUUGAUAAGGGGUAGAGCUACAUUGUUGGUCAUUCUUUUAAGUUCUGCUAAUGGAUGCUUCGAUUCGAGGAAACAAAACUCUCGAAGUGAGGUCCUCUUUCUUUCUUUGCAAAUUCGUAAUCUUCAACAAAUAACCUUAGGCUUACAUGGUAUCAAGUAUCAAUUAUCAAGAGAUACAAUCUUCAUUUCACCCUAGGAAAAAAGUUCAAGUAAUGCCUUUUACAACUGCCAACUUGACACUAUAGCAGGAGCAAAGCUUGAGGAGAAUAUGGAGGGGUUGAAUCUACCAACAUCUCAAAUUUUUCAUGAUUCUUAAACCACAAAUAGCAAGAUAAACUCUAACCUAAGAUAACAUGUGGGAAAAGAGGAGAUAACAACUAUCCCCCGCCCCCCCAACCCAAUGCAACUAUUAGACAUACUAAUCCUCAAUUAAUGAGAAUAUUUACUUCCCCAAAUGGUAACCUCUAACUAUAUUGAUUGAUAUCAGUGUUACUAAUAAUGUUAUGGACAUUAAAAUUGCCAUAUAUAAAACUAUUUCUGAAGUUCCACCAAAACGCUUAAGCUUUGAGGAUAGUUGCUUCAUGGCAUGCCCUCAGUGCCUCUAACACUAACUUGGCUGCAAGAGCCAAACCUUUUCCAUUGAAGACCUCAUUUAACUAAAUAAAAAAGUUCAAGUCAACCUGAACCUGGAGAUGAAGCACCAUCACUACAUUUGACUCCUCUCACGUGAAGUGUUUACUUUAGAGGGAAAAUGAAGAGUUACAACCCUUAAUGAGAAAAUCAACUGAUAAUAUUGAGCUGAGGAGAAGUUGAGCUUUUGGUACCAGAUUGCUUGAAGUUUGGGAAAAAUCAGGAGUCGUGUGGAAGCUUGUUCUCUUCUUCCCCCGAAGCUCAGAUUCUUCUUCUCCGAGUGUGACGGUCAAGGCAGAUAGCCAUAAAUAACUCCUCAUUAAAGGUUGUUAAAAUUCAUAUACAUCUUCUCAUCAACAGCUAUAACUCCUCAUUUCUUCCCUCCGAAAUGAUGAGCCAAAUUCCAGCACAACAACCCUACCAUUUGUUGAAGGAAAAGUCUCCAACAGAAUGACUGUACCCUACCUUUCCUUAAAGGAGAAGUUUCAAACAGAAUGACUCUUGUGAGAGAAAGAUAUUAGAAUUAAAAAAAUCAGAAAUUAUUAUUAUCCUAAUUGGUUGCUGUUUUCUUUUUGUUAUGCUUUCUACCUUAACUAGGAUUUUCCUUCAAUUACGCUGUUUCCUAUUUCAACCUGGGUUCUUAGCCUAAUGUUUAUUUUCUUUGAGGACACAACCCUCUAGUCAUCCCAUUCAUAAUAUUCUAUCACAAACCCUAGCUUCACCAUCAACUCAUUGUAACAGAUUCAACAAUGAACAACAAAAAAAAAAGCGUGAGUUGACCGAAUUCAACAAUCACUGAUAUACAAGAUAAAUAACUCAAACAGCAAAGUAACGGUUGAGAAAAUAACAUAAAACCAUAAAAAAGCAACAAGGAAGCACGAAAACUAAAUAAAUCCAAUUCAAGCAUACUUAUAUGAAACUAAGGGUGUUCAUGGAUUGGUUU
Non-coding RNA from Cajanus cajan (pigeon pea), 2820 nucleotides. The record is from RefSeq and is a predicted model, not a curated record. NCBI's taxonomy places the organism in Eukaryota, Viridiplantae, Streptophyta, Magnoliopsida, Fabales, Fabaceae.